Molecule: ribosomal RNA, 525 nt
Filed under: uncultured microeukaryote
Lineage: Eukaryota
Description: SSU rRNA
Rfam family: Eukaryotic small subunit ribosomal RNA
Source: RNAcentral
UAGUCAUAUGCUUGUCUCAAAGAUUAAGCCAUGCAUGUCUAAGUAUAAGCAAUCUAUACAGUGAAACUGCGAAUGGCUCAUUAAAUCAGUUAUCGUUUAUUUGAUAGUACCUUACUACUUGGAUAACCGUGGUAAUUCUAGAGCUAACACAUGCUAAAAACCCCGACUUCGGAAGGGGUGUAUUUAUUAAAUAAAAAACCAAUGCUCUUCGGGGCUCCUUGGUGAUUCAUAAUAACUUAACAAAUCGCAUGGCCUUGUGCCGGCAAUGGUUCAUUCAAAUUUCUGCCCUAUCAACUUUCGAUGGUAGGAUAGUGGCCUACCAUGGUUUCAACGGGUAACGGGGAAUUAGGGUUCUAUUCCGGAGAGGGAGCCUGAAAAACGGCUACCACAUCCAAGGAAGGCAGCAGGCGCGCAAAUUACCCAAUCCCGACACGGGGAGGUAGUGACAAUAAAUACUGAUACAGGGCUCUUUUGAGUCUUGUAAUUGGAAUGAGUACAAUUUAAAUCCCUUAACGAGGAACAAUU